RNAcentral lists this ribosomal RNA (497 nucleotides) under uncultured bacterium. RNAcentral describes it as "partial 16S ribosomal RNA". It matches the Rfam family "Bacterial small subunit ribosomal RNA", at positions 28 to 507 of the family's 1533-position model. The record is from RNAcentral.
GACGAACGCGGUCGGCGUGCCUAGUACAUGCGAGUUUAGCGCUGAAUGUUGGUACUUGUACCAACUUGAUGAGCAGCGAACGGGUGAGUAACGCGUGGGGAAUCUGCCAUUUAACAUGGGACAACUUUUGGAAACGAAUGGUAAUACCGCAUCAAGACUUUAAACACAAGUUUUAAGGUUGAAAGAUGCAAUUGCAUCACUCAAACAUGAUCCCGCGUUGUAUUAGCUAGUUGGUGAGGUAAAGGCUCACCAAGGCGAUGAUACAUAGCCGACCUGAGAGGGUGAUCGGCACCCUUGGGACUGAGACAAGGCCCAAACUCCUACGGGAGGCAGCAGUAGGGAAGCUUCGGCAAUGGACGACAGUCUGACCGAGAAACGCCGCGUGAGUGCAGAAGGUUUUCGGAUCGUAAAACUCUGUUCGUAGAGAAGAACGUUGGUGAGAGUGGAAAGCUCAUCAAGUGACGGUAACUACCCAGAAGGGGACGGAUAACUACGUG